GGGUUGUGAGGUUAAGCGACUAAGCGUACACGGUGGAUGCCCUGGCAGUCAGAGGCGAUGAAGGGCGUGCUAAUCUGCGAUAAGCGCCGGUAAGGUGAUAUGAACCGUUAUAACCGGCGAUACCCGAAUGGGGAAACCCAGUGUGACUCGUCACACUAUCAUUAACUGAAUCCAUAGGUUAAUGAGGCGAACCGGGGGAACUGAAACAUCUAAGUACCCCGAGGAAAAGAAAUCAACCGAGAUUCCCCCAGUAGCGGCGAGCGAACGGGGAGGAGCCCAGAGCCUGAAUCAGCAUGUGUGUUAGUGGAAGCGUCUGGAAAGGCGCGCGAUACAGGGUGACAGCCCCGUACACAAAAGCGCAUGUGCUGUGAGCUCGAUGAGUAGGGCGGGACACGUGGUAUCCUGUCUGAAUAUGGGGGGACCAUCCUCCAAGGCUAAAUACUCCUGACUGACCGAUAGUGAACCAGUACCGUGAGGGAAAGGCGAAAAGAACCCCGGCGAGGGGAGUGAAAAAGAACCUGAAACCGUGUACGUACAAGCAGUGGGAGCCCCACCACCAAAGCAUUCUCUGGUGUUGAAGGCCCUGCAAAGCAGCAUCGCGGUGGCGGAGCGUCGUUUGCGACGCCCAACACACAAAACAAGCGGUGAAUGCUUUGGGGUGGGGUGACUGCGUACCUUUUGUAUAAUGGGUCAGCGACUUAUAUUCUGUAGCAAGGUUAACCGAAUAGGGGAGCCGGAGGGAAACCGAGUCUUAAUUGGGCGUUAAGUUGCAGGGUAUAGACCCGAAACCCGGUGAUCUAGCCAUGGGCAGGUUGAAGGUUGGGUAACACUAACUGGAGGACCGAACCGACUAAUGUUGAAAAAUUAGCGGAUGACCUGUGGCUGGGGGUGAAAGGCCAAUCAAACCGGGAGAUAGCUGGUUCUCCCCGAAAGCUAUUUAGGUAGCGCCUCGUGAAUUCAUCUCCGGGGGUAGAGCACUGUUUCGGCUAGGGGGCCAUCCCGGCUUACCAACCCGAUGCAAACUGCGAAUACCGGAGAAUGUUAUCACGGGAGACACACGGCGGGUGCUAACGUCCGUCGUGAAGAGGGAAACAACCCAGACCGCCAGCUAAGGUCCCAAAGUCAUGGUUAAGUGGGAAACGAUGUGGGAAGGCCCAGACAGCCAGGAUGUUGGCUUAGAAGCAGCCAUCAUUUAAAGAAAGCGUAAUAGCUCACUGGUCGAGUCGGCCUGCGCGGAAGAUGUAACGGGGCUAAACCAUGCACCGAAGCUGCGGCAGCGACGCUGAUGCGUUGUUGGGUAGGGGAGCGUUCUGUAAGCCUGCGAAGGUGACCUGUGAGGGUUGCUGGAGGUAUCAGAAGUGCGAAUGCUGACAUAAGUAACGAUAAAGCGGGUGAAAAGCCCGCUCGCCGGAAGACCAAGGGUUCCUGUCCAACGUUAAUCGGGGCAGGGUGAGUCGACCCCUAAGGCGAGGCCGAAAGGCGUAGUCGAUGGGAAACGGGUUAAUAUUCCCGUACUUGGUGUUACUGCGAAGGGGGGACGGAGAAGGCUAUGUUGGCCGGGCGACGGUUGUCCCGGUUUAAGCGUGUAGGUGUGUGUUCCAGGUAAAUCCGGUUCACUUUAACACUGAGGCGUGAUGACGAGGCACUACGGUGCUGAAGCAACAAAUGCCCUGCUUCCAGGAAAAGCCUCUAAGCAUCAGGUAACAUCAAAUCGUACCCCAAACCGACACAGGUGGUCAGGUAGAGAAUACCAAGGCGCUUGAGAGAACUCGGGUGAAGGAACUAGGCAAAAUGGUGCCGUAACUUCGGGAGAAGGCACGCUGACACGUAGGUGAAGUGAUUUACUCACGGAGCUGAAGUCAGUCGAAGAUACCAGCUGGCUGCAACUGUUUAUUAAAAACACAGCACUGUGCAAACACGAAAGUGGACGUAUACGGUGUGACGCCUGCCCGGUGCCGGAAGGUUAAUUGAUGGGGUCAGCGCAAGCGAAGCUCCUGAUCGAAGCCCCGGUAAACGGCGGCCGUAACUAUAACGGUCCUAAGGUAGCGAAAUUCCUUGUCGGGUAAGUUCCGACCUGCACGAAUGGCGUAAUGAUGGCCAGGCUGUCUCCACCCGAGACUCAGUGAAAUUGAACUCGCUGUGAAGAUGCAGUGUACCCGCGGCAAGACGGAAAGACCCCGUGAACCUUUACUAUAGCUUGACACUGAACAUUGAGCCUUGAUGUGUAGGAUAGGUGGGAGGCUUUGAAGUGUGGACGCCAGUCUGCAUGGAGCCGACCUUGAAAUACCACCCUUUAAUGUUUGAUGUUCUAACGUGGACCCGUUACCCGGGUUGCGGACAGUGUCUGGUGGGUAGUUUGACUGGGGCGGUCUCCUCCUAAAGAGUAACGGAGGAGCACGAAGGUUGGCUAAUCCUGGUCGGACAUCAGGAGGUUAGUGCAAUGGCAUAAGCCAGCUUGACUGCGAGCGUGACGGCGCGAGCAGGUGCGAAAGCAGGUCAUAGUGAUCCGGUGGUUCUGAAUGGAAGGGCCAUCGCUCAACGGAUAAAAGGUACUCCGGGGAUAACAGGCUGAUACCGCCCAAGAGUUCAUAUCGACGGCGGUGUUUGGCACCUCGAUGUCGGCUCAUCACAUCCUGGGGCUGAAGUAGGUCCCAAGGGUAUGGCUGUUCGCCAUUUAAAGUGGUACGCGAGCUGGGUUUAGAACGUCGUGAGACAGUUCGGUCCCUAUCUGCCGUGGGCGCUGGAGAACUGAGGGGGGCUGCUCCUAGUACGAGAGGACCGGAGUGGACGCAUCACUGGUGUUCGGGUUGUCAUGCCAAUGGCACUGCCCGGUAGCUAAAUGCGGAAGAGAUAAGUGCUGAAAGCAUCUAAGCACGAAACUUGCCCCGAGAUGAGUUCUCCCUGAGACUUAAAGUCUCCUGAAGGAACGUUGAAGACGACGACGUUGAUAGGCCGGGUGUGUAAGCGCAGCGAUGCGUUGAGCUAACCGGUACUAAUGAACCGUGAGGCUUAACCUUACAACGCCGAAG
RNAcentral lists this ribosomal RNA (3029 nucleotides) under Salmonella enterica subsp. enterica serovar Heidelberg. RNAcentral's name for it is "bacterial LSU rRNA". It matches the Rfam family "Bacterial large subunit ribosomal RNA". The record is from RNAcentral. RNAcentral also lists the same sequence under 6 other names. Lineage: Bacteria; Pseudomonadati; Pseudomonadota; Gammaproteobacteria; Enterobacterales; Enterobacteriaceae.